UGAGGAAUAUUGGGCAAUGCCCGCAAGGGUGACCCAGCAACGCCGCGUGGAGGAUGAAUGUCGUAAGAUUGUAAACUACUGUUAGAGGGGAAGAAUAGUACCGGUUGGACCGGUAUAUGACUGUACCCUCAGAGAAAGCCCCGGCUAACUACGUGCCAGCAGCCGCGGUAAUACGUAGGGGGCAAGCGUUGUCCGGAUUUACUGGGUGUAAAGGGCGCGCAGGCGGGAUAAAAAGUCAGUGGUGAAAUCCUACAGCUUAACUGUAGAACUGCCUGUGAUACUUUUAUUCUUGAGUUCGGGAGAGAGAGACGGAAUUCCAGGUGUAGUGGUGAAAUACGUAGAUAUCUGGAAGAACACCAGUUGCGAAGGCGGUCUCUUGGUCCGACACUGACGCUGAGGCGCGAAAGCGUGGGGAGCAAACA
Molecule: ribosomal RNA, 422 nt
Filed under: uncultured bacterium
Lineage: Bacteria
Description: bacterial SSU rRNA
Rfam family: Bacterial small subunit ribosomal RNA
Source: RNAcentral